CUACGUAGGUGACAAGCGUUAUCCGGAUUUACUGGGCGUAAAGGGCGUGUAGGCGGUCUUGCAAGUCAGAAGUGAAAUUCCUGAGCUCAGCUCGGGCGCUGCUUCUGAAACUGCAGGACUUGAGUGCUGGAGGGGAUAGCGGAAUUCCUAGUGGAGCGGUAAAAUGGGCAGAGAUUAGGAAAAACACCGGUGGCGGGGGCGGGUAUCUGGACAGUAAGUGGCGCUGGGGCGCGAAAGCGUGGGGAGAAAACAGGAUUAGUUCCCCUGGUAGUCCACGCCGUAAACGAUGAAUACUAGGUGUAGGGGGUAUCGACUCCCUCUGUGCCGCAGUUAACACAAUAAGUAUUCCGCCUGGGGAGUACGGCCGCAAGGUUGAAACUCAAAUGAAUUGACGGGG
Molecule: ribosomal RNA, 397 nt
Filed under: uncultured bacterium
Lineage: Bacteria
Description: partial 16S ribosomal RNA
Rfam family: Bacterial small subunit ribosomal RNA
Source: RNAcentral